RNAcentral lists this microRNA (22 nucleotides) under Echinococcus granulosus. Its description in RNAcentral is "egr-miR-10260-3p". Lineage: Eukaryota; Metazoa; Platyhelminthes; Cestoda; Cyclophyllidea; Taeniidae. The record is from miRBase by way of RNAcentral.
GUUGGCAACGGUAGUGCGAUAC